This 253-nucleotide ribosomal RNA is filed under the name uncultured bacterium. RNAcentral describes it as "partial 16S ribosomal RNA". It matches the Rfam family "Bacterial small subunit ribosomal RNA", at positions 524 to 776 of the family's 1533-position model. The record is from RNAcentral.
UACAGAGGUCUCAACCGUUGUUCGGAUUCAUUGGGCGUAAAGGGUGCGUAGGCGGCCAACUAAGUCCGACGUGAAAUCCCAAAGCUUAACUUUGGAACUGCGUCGGAUACUGGAUGGCUUGAAUUCGGGAGAGGGAUGCAGAAUUCCAGGUGUAGCGGUGAAAUGCGUAGAUAUCUGGAGGAAUACCGGUGGCGAAGGCGGCAUCCUGGACCGACAUUGACGCUGAUGAGCGAAAGCUAGGGGAGCAAACGGG